AACGAACGCUGGCGGCGCGCCUAAUACAUGCAAGUCGAGCGAGAAGACGUAGCAAUACGUUUGUAAAGCGGCGAACGGGUGAGGAAUACAUGGGUAACCUACCCUCGAGUGGGGAAUAACUAGCCGAAAGGUUAGCUAAUACCGCGUACGCUCCUUGGACUUCGGUUCAGGGAGGAAAGCGAUACCGUGGGUAUCGCGCUCUUGGAUGGGCUCAUGUCCUAUCAGCUUGUUGGUGAGGUAACGGCUCACCAAGGCUUCGACGGGUAGCUGGUCUGAGAGGACGAUCAGCCACACUGGCACUGCGACACGGGCCAGACUCCUACGGGAGGCAGCAGUAAGGAAUAUUGCGCAAUGGGACGAAAGCCUGACGCAGCGACGCCGCGGUGGGGGAU
RNAcentral lists this ribosomal RNA (392 nucleotides) under uncultured bacterium. RNAcentral's name for it is "bacterial SSU rRNA". It matches the Rfam family "Bacterial small subunit ribosomal RNA", at positions 29 to 409 of the family's 1533-position model. The record is from RNAcentral.